Molecule: ribosomal RNA, 1588 nt
Filed under: Conticribra weissflogii
Lineage: Eukaryota; Bacillariophyta; Thalassiosirophyceae; Thalassiosirales; Thalassiosiraceae
Description: partial Bacterial large subunit ribosomal RNA
Rfam family: Bacterial large subunit ribosomal RNA
Source: RNAcentral
UCAAGCAACUAAGCGCAUACGGUGGAUGCCUUGGCAGUCAGAGGCGAUGAAAGACGUGGAAGCCUGCGAUAAGGUUCGGGGAGCUGGCAAACAAGCUGUGAUCCGGGCAUUUCUGAAUGGGGAAACCCACCGACUUUCGGGUCGGUAUCUUACACUGAAUCCAUAGGUGUAAGAGGCGAACCGGGGGAACUGAAACAUCUAAGUACCCCGAGGAAAAGAAAUCAACCGAGAUUCCCUAAGUAGCGGCGAGCGAACGGGGAUUAGCCCUUAAGCUAAACAACUGGUAGGAGAAGGCUCUGGAAAGUGCCGCCAUAGUGGGUGAUAGCCCCGUAUCCGAAACCUGAGUUUAGUGAAAUCGAGUAGGACGGGACACGUGGUAUCCUGUCUGAAUAUGGGGGGACCAUCCUCCAAGGCUAAAUACUCCUGACUGACCGAUAGUGAACCAGUACCGUGAGGGAAAGGCGAAAAGAACCCCUGUGAGGGGAGUGAAAUAGAUCCUGAAACCGUAUGCGUACAAGCAGUCGGAGCGGACUUGUUCCGUGACGGCGUACCUUUUGUAUAAUGGGUCAGCGACUUAUGUUCAGUGGCGAGGUUAACCGUUUAGGGGAGCCGUAGGGAAACCGAGUCUGAAUAGGGCGAUUUAGUCGCUGGGCAUAGACCCGAAACCGGGCGAUCUAUCCAUGAGCAGGUUGAAGGUUGAGUAACAUCAACUGGAGGACCGAACCCACUGUCUUUGAAAAGCCAGGGGAUGACUUGUGGAUCGGAGUGAAAGGCUAAUCAAGCCCGGAGAUAGCUGGUUCUCCUCGAAAUCUAUUUAGGUAGAGCGUCGAUCGAAUACUCUUGGGGGUAGAGCACUGACUGGGCUAGGGGUCCUCACCGGAUUACCAAACCUUAUCAAACUCCGAAUACCAAGAAGUACUAAUCGGCAGACACACGGCGGGUGCUAACGUCCGUCGUGGAGAGGGAAACAACCCUGACCACCAAUUAAGGUCCCCAAAUAAUGGCUAAGUGUGAAAGGAUGUGGGAUUGCUUUGACAAUGAGGAGGUUGGCUUAGAAGCAGCCAUCCUUUAAAGAAAGCGUAACAGCUCACUCAUCAAGCGAUCCUGCGCCGAAAAUGUAACGGGGCUAAAGCCAUUUACCGAAAUUGUGGGCUCGAAAGAGCGGUAGCGGAGCGUUCCGUAAGCCUGCGAAGGUGCACUGCGAGGUGUGCUGGAGGUAUCGGAAGUGAGAAUGUUGACAUGAGUAGCGACAAAGCGGGUGAGAGACCCGCUCGCCGAAAAUCCAAGGGUUCCUGCGUAAAGCUAAUCUGCGCAGGGUUAGCCGGCCCCUAAGGCGAGGCCGAAAGGCGUAGCCGAUGGGAACCACGUUAAUAUUCGUGGGCCAAGGGAUGAGUGACGGAUUUCGAAAGUUGUAGCCCCUUAUUGGAUUGGGUCUGCAGCCUGGAAGUUCCUGGAAAUAGCCUCCCAUUAAGACCGUACCCGAAACCGACACAGGUGGUCAGGUAGAGAAUACCAAGGCGCUUGAGAGAACGAUGCUGAAGGAACUCGGCAAAUUACCUCCGUAACUUCGGGAGAAGGAGGCCUCACU